Non-coding RNA from Podarcis lilfordi (Lilford's wall lizard), 91 nucleotides. The record is from the annotation of a GenBank genome assembly. Lineage: Eukaryota; Metazoa; Chordata; Lepidosauria; Squamata; Lacertidae.
CCUUCGAUAGCUCAGCUGGUAGAGCGGAGGACUGUAGAAUACUUAAGAACAAGUCAUCCUUAGGUCGCUGGUUCGAUUCCGGCUCGAAGGA